GACGAACGCUGGCGGCGUGCUUAACACAUGCAAGUCGAACGGAAAGGCCCUGCUUUUGUGGGGUGCUCGAGUGGCGAACGGGUGAGUAACACGUGAGUAACCUGCCCUUGACUUUGGGAUAACUUCAGGAAACUGGGGCUAAUACCGGAUAGGAGCUCCUGCUGCAUGGUGGGGGUUGGAAAGUUUCGGCGGUUGGGGAUGGACUCGCGGCUUAUCAGCUUGUUGGUGGGGUAGGGGCUUACCAAGGCUUUGACGGGUAGCCGGCCUGAGAGGGUGACCGGCCACAUUGGGACUGAGAUACGGCGCAGACUCCUACGGGAGGCAGCAGUGGGGAAUAUUGCACAAUGGGCGGAAGCCUGAUGCAGCAACGCCGCGUGCGGGAUGACGGCCUUCGGGUUGUAAACCGCUUUCGCAUGUAACGAAGCGUGAGUGACGGUAAUGAGUAAAGAAGCAACGGCUAACUACGUG
Molecule: ribosomal RNA, 468 nt
Filed under: uncultured bacterium
Lineage: Bacteria
Description: partial 16S ribosomal RNA
Rfam family: Bacterial small subunit ribosomal RNA
Source: RNAcentral